GUGGCCGAUUAAGUCUGAUGUGAAAAGCCUAUGGCUCAACCAUAGAAUUGCAUUGGAAACUGAACGGCUAGAGUAUUGGAGAGGUAAGCGGAAUUUCUGGUGUAGCGGUGGAAUGCGUAGAUAUCAGAAAGAACACCGAAAGCGAAGGCAGCUUACUGGACAAUAACUGACACUCAUGGACGAAAGCGUGGGGAGCAAACAGGAUUAGAUACCCUGGUAGUCCACGCCGUAAACGUUGUCAACUUGUUGUGGGGGGAAUUAGCCCCCUCCGUGACGCAGCUAACGCGUUAAGUUGACCGCCUGGGGACUACGGCCGCAAGGCUAAAACUCAAAGGAAUUGACGGGGACCCGCACAAGCGGUGGAGCAUGUGGCUUAAUUCGAGGCAACGCGAAGAACCUUACCUGGACUUGACAUAUAUUUGAUCGCCAUUGAAAGAUGGUUUUCCUUCGGGACAGAUAUACAGGUGCUGCAUGGCUGUCGUCAGCUCGUGCUGUGAAGUGUUCGGUUAAGUCCGGCAACGAGCGCAACCCACGUCGUUAGUUACCAUCAAGUAAUGUUGGGGACUCUAACGAGACUGCCUGUGUUAAGCAGGAGGAAGGCGUGGAUGACGUCAAGUCAGUAUGGCCCUUAUGUCCAGGGCUGCACACGUGCUACAAUGGCUACUACAGAGGGAAGCGAAGCCGCGAGGUAGAGCAAAUCCGUAAAAGUAGUCUAAGUUCGGAUUGGAGUCUGCAACUCGACUCCAUGAAGUCGGAAUCGCUAGUAAAGGCGUAUCAGCAUUGACGCCUUGAAUACGUUCCCGGGUCUUGUACACACCGCCCGUCACAUCAUGGAAGUUGAUUGCACCCGAAGUCGUUGACCCAACUCAAUUUGAGAGGGAGGCGCCUAGGGUGUGGUUAGUAACUGGGAUG
RNAcentral lists this ribosomal RNA (912 nucleotides) under uncultured bacterium. Its description in RNAcentral is "bacterial SSU rRNA". It matches the Rfam family "Bacterial small subunit ribosomal RNA", at positions 575 to 1482 of the family's 1533-position model. The record is from RNAcentral.